GAGUAAUGCUUGGGAAUCUAGCUUAUGGAGGGGGAUAACUACGGGAAACUGUAGCUAAUACCGCGUAAUAUCGAAAGAUUAAAGUGUGGGACCUUCGGGCCACAUGCCAUAGGAUGAGCCCAAGUGGGAUUAGGUAGUUGGUGAGGUAAAAGCUCACCAAGCCGACGAUCUCUAGCUGGUCUGAGAGGAUGACCAGCCACACUGGGACUGAGACACGGCCCAAACUCCUACGGGAGGCAGCAGUGGGGAAUAUUGCGCAAUGGGGGCAACCCUGACGCAGCCAUGCCGCGUGAAUGAAGAAGGCCUUCGGGUUGUAAAGUUCUUUCGGUAGCGAGGAAGGCAUUUAGUUUAAUAGACUAAGUGAUUGACGUUAACUACAGAAGAAGCACCGGCUAACUCCGUGCCAGCAGCCGCGGUAAUACGGAGGGUGCGAGCGUUAAUCGGAAUAACUGGUCGUAAAGGGCACGCAGGCGGACUUUUAAGUGAGGUGUGAAAGCCCCGGGCUUAACCUGGGAAUUGCAUUUCAGACUGGGAGUCUAGAGUACUUUAGGGAGGGGUAGAAUUCCACGUGUAGCGGUGAAAUGCGU
This 587-nucleotide ribosomal RNA is filed under the name uncultured bacterium. RNAcentral's name for it is "bacterial SSU rRNA". It matches the Rfam family "Bacterial small subunit ribosomal RNA", at positions 108 to 691 of the family's 1533-position model. The record is from RNAcentral.